RNAcentral lists this small nucleolar RNA (107 nucleotides) under Gossypium hirsutum (cotton). RNAcentral describes it as "Plant small nucleolar RNA R71". It matches the Rfam family "Plant small nucleolar RNA R71". Rfam says of the family: R71 is a member of the C/D box family of snoRNAs containing the C (UGAUGA) and D (CUGA) box motifs. Lineage: Eukaryota; Viridiplantae; Streptophyta; Magnoliopsida; Malvales; Malvaceae. The record is from Rfam by way of RNAcentral.
AAACCAUGCAUCGGGCAUUUUCUAAUCAAUUCCUUGAAUCACUCUCAAGCUUUAUACAAUGUCUCAUCUUCAGAUUAUCGAAAAGAUGUAAUAGCGUUCCUCAAUUU